This 146-nucleotide transfer RNA is filed under the name Eutypa lata UCREL1. RNAcentral describes it as "tRNA-Und (NNN) (tRNA-Und-NNN-5-1)". It matches the Rfam family "tRNA". From Rfam's summary of the family: Transfer RNA (tRNA) molecules are approximately 80 nucleotides in length. Lineage: Eukaryota; Fungi; Ascomycota; Sordariomycetes; Xylariales; Diatrypaceae. The record is from RNAcentral.
GCCCGGUUAGCUCAAUCGGUAGAGCGCGAGGUACGAUUUACUUUCUUCCAAAUCUUAUCUAUCAUUCGCUUUACUAAUUCCUGGAUUUAGACUCUUACACCAAAGAGGUUAUCUCGAGGUUGCGGGUUCGACCCCCGCAUCGGGCU